This 73-nucleotide transfer RNA is filed under the name Danio rerio (zebrafish). It matches the Rfam family "tRNA". Rfam says of the family: Transfer RNA (tRNA) molecules are approximately 80 nucleotides in length. Their secondary structure includes four short double-helical elements and three loops (D, anti-codon, and T loops). Lineage: Eukaryota; Metazoa; Chordata; Actinopteri; Cypriniformes; Danionidae. The record is from Rfam by way of RNAcentral.
GACAGGCUAGCUCAGUCGGUAGAGCAUGAGACUUUUAAUCUCAGGGUCGUGGGUUCGAGCCCCAAGUUGGGCG